UUCUAAUUUUAAUAUAUUUUUUUUAUUAAUCUUACAUUCCAUUUUGAUUAGUGAUAAGUGUUACAUUCCAUUUUGAUUAGUGAUAAGUGGUGAGGUGAAUUUAACUGUUCAUAGCAUGGAAUGAAAACAAGGUUUUUUUCAAAAUUGUGUAGUUGGAUUAUAUUAAACUACUAGUAUUCAUCUCGUGCUGAUAUUAUACUUUUAUAAAUUUUUAUAGUUUGUAAACCAGAUUUUUUUGGUUAUUUUAAAUCGUUUAAUCUGAUCCGAUCGAUCCAAAUCGAACCCAGACCAUAACAGGCUGAACGAUCUAAACUUGACGUAUCUACCACCACCACAUAUACAACACCACGGCACAUUUCUUAAAAGGAAGUCUCUUUUUUUGGGUCUAAAUGUUAAUUAAGACUUAAAUGGAAGUCCAUAAAAGGAUGAUAUAUUUUGCGGCAUAAAGCACCCGUUUACUGAGCAUGACUAGACCUGUUAAUUAAUGACAUGCCCAAACUCAUGAGUCGUGGCGGUGCAUCAUUUGGUGAUGUUAAUUUUAUAAGUUUUGGGCGGAUUGUAUCAAGAAAAUGGCGUGAAUAGAGACAUAAGAAGGGUGUAGUGACUAGUGAUCACGUUAAUAUAUACUUGCCUGUCCACCAAUCUGUCACUCUCCGUUUUACAACACUUAUUUAUUGUUAUUAUUCCCCUUCAUUAUAUAAUUCAAUUCACUCUCCUUCUCUCUCGCUUUCUCCUGUCUCUCUCUCUCUCUCUCUCAAAACACACACACGAUCCAAUGACGACGAGCGACAACGUGAGCGGAUGUUUUGGAGACACGAAGCUGACCAAAGUGUUCGUAGGAGGAUUGGCUUGGGUCACUCAAAAAGAAGCAAUGCAUGAUCAUUUCAUCAAGUAUGGUGAUAUCUUGGAGGCAGUCGUCAUCUUCGACAAACUCACUCGCCGUUCCAAAGGCUACGGCUUCGUGACUUUCAAAGAUGCGGAAGCCGCGAAGAGGGCUUGCGAAGACCCGACUCCGAUUAUCAAUGGGCGCCGUUCCAACUGCAAUCUUGCCUCCCUCGGUGGCCGUCAUCGUAGAUCCCCCACCACCAUGGCCUCUCCUCAACAAGGAUCAAAGAAUGUGAGUAGGGCCACGUCAGGACAUGUAGGGAAUAAUCAAGCUCAAUGGUACUACCCUGCGGGAUUCACACACCAGCAACAUCAACAUCAACAUCAACUUCAACGACAACACAAUCAUCAAGCCGUUCCAUUCUAUGGGUACCCUUCCUCCUACGUCGCCCCUAACAUGACCUUCAAUCAAAAAGUUGGAUACGUUGGAGGAACCUAUAUGAACGGAUACUACGCACAACCGCAACCUCAACCUCUGCCACAGCCGCAAUAUUACCACCACAUGUAUGGUGGAGGACGUGUAAUGGUUGCGGCAAGCCCGACGAUGAUGCCUCUCUACACUGUCUAUCCUUAUCAUCAAUCUCCGGCCAUCGGUUUUCCUCAGCCUUCUUUUACGAAACACAUUCCUACUCAUCACAUUUCAGGUACAGUUGGAGGAGGAGAUAGCAUAAUGAAGAAGGCAUAAGUUGAAAGGCUACAACAAGCUGUUAACAAAACGAUUCAGGCAUUCAGCUUAAAAUUAUUUUCAUUUCUUCAUCUCACAAUGUUUUAUUUUUAACCAUAUAGACAUAAAUCAAUUUUUUAGAAAAUUAUUUCUAUAUAUUAAUAAUUUUUAAACUAGGUAAUAGAGUUUCUUCUAAAGUAGCUAAGGUCUACUUCCUGUAUUGGAUUAGCCUAAUUCCGCCAUCCUCCGUCUUCUCUUCGCAUUUUGUUCAUUAAAAGUUAAUAGGAUUUUCAACCGAAUUAAUAAGUAAAAGUAUCUACUAAUCGGAUUAUAAAAACUUAAGAUAGAGGUUCUUUAACAACAUGGAAGUUUCUAGCUUAGAUUCAUAAUAUGUUUUAUACAUGAAAUCAACUUUUAGAUAUCUCUUAUAUAUUAAAAUAAAAACAUUGUCAUUUAAUGUGUGUGGCAGCUUCGCAACUAGUUAAAAAUGAAUACGGUGAUGUGUUACGUGCAGAAAAAAUCUCAACCAAAUUUUUCAUAAAUAUGUUCACACUAUAUACUAUUAUACGUUUUUUCGAUAUAAACUCAUAUGCAGGAGGAUUCUACGGGUUAUACAAAUGUUCAACAUAAAAAGAUAAUUUGCAAAAAAAAUCACUAAUGUAUAAGCCUAUUUUAUUUUGAACAAAAAUGUUUUUAAUGUUAAUUAACGGUAUCUUUAUAUAUUUAUCAACCAUUUUUAUAUAUUUUUACAUACACAUACAAGGUGUGGGCACGAAUCAGAUAUCUGUGGUUUUGGAGGUAUUGUGAUCCGAUUUAUUUUGUCCGAAUACUCAACUAUCCGAUUCGAUUUAAUUCAUAGCCAUCUAGAUAUUCGGUGUCCCGGUUAUCCCGAAAAAAUAGAUUUUUAACUAGUAUAUGAUUCGAUCCAUAAAAAUAAAUUAAAAAUCUAAAUAAUAUAAGAUAAUAAAAUUUUAUUACAAAGAUAAAAAAAUAUUACUUUUUUGAAUACUAAUAAAUAAUUUAAUAAAUUUAGUAAAUAAAAAUAUUGCAAGACUAAUAUAAAAUAUAAUUUUAUGCAUAUAAUAGAUCAGAUCGGAUAUCCAUUUUUAAAUAUUAGUAAUUUAGUAUAUGUGUAUACAUGCAUAUAACGGAUCAGAUUGGAUAUCCAUUUUUUUAAAUAUUAGUAUUUGUGAUUUUCUUUGUUUUACGGAUAUUGAAUAUUAGUAUUUGUUUUGCUUUGUAGAGCUACGAAUAUCCAUAUUUUUCUGUUCAAUCGAAAAUGAUAACAAAUCGAAUCAAAAUUUACGGAUAUUUUUCUCAGCCCUACAUACAUGUGCACAUUGAUAUGAGCACCUAUAUAAAUAAAUAUUCACUACAAGUGAGGAUUCUAAUUCUCUUGGAAGUUGGAAUUUUUUUUUAAUGUUUCCUAUCAAUACACCAAAUUGUAAUGAAAUGAUUUGUCUUAAUAAUUUUCUUUUUUUUUCUUCAAUUAUUAUCUAAAAUUGAUUUGAUUUUUCAUGCAUUUAGAAAUUAUAAUAUGAAAACAUUGGUUUGACAUCAGAACUGUCUAAAAUUUAUAUAACAUGAAACCAAAAAAAAAAAAUAGUUUUUGGCUAUCAUCGAAAAAAUCAAAAACCUCGAGCAUUUUAACCAAGUAAACAAAAAAAAUAUUGAUUUAGAAUGGUAGUUAUAUUUUAAUAGAUUAAAACCCAAAAAAAUAACCUAAAAACCGAACCGGCGAAUAUCAACUAUGAUUUUGAUUGGGUAUAUAUCAUCUCUUAUUUGGACAAUGCUUAGGAUUUGGAUGAGUAGAUCAAAGGUUUUUCGUUGAGCGUUGGCGUGCAUCUCUUCUUGCAACAUGAGUGUCAAUAUCCAGUGUUGGAAUUUCUAGUCCUAAGGAGUUACAUUAUCGAUGAACUUCCCUUGCACAUAUUGCAAGGUUGUUUAGUCUCUCGAGGAUCUCUAUCCGUGCACUCAAAGAAUUGACAUAAAACCGCCAGAAUUGACGUCUAAUCUUCAGUCAGAAUUGACGACAUGGUAUGUACUCACUAGAUUAUACCUUUGGGGUUUCCUUUCUAGGUCUGUAAGAAGACAAGUGAUCUUCACGGUGUUUAUUCGGCCCACGUUCUCUCAAGUUCCGUGGAGUUGACUGUCACGGUGUCACUAGUAAUCCAUUCAUAUAUAUUUUCAAAUAGUUUAAAAGUUGAAUGAUUCAUCCAUAUACAUUUUUAAAUAGUUUAGAGGCUGAAUGAUCCAUACAUGUUAAACAUUUAAAUUUUAAAGAUAAAAAUGUUUAGUUUCACUGUUCUGAAGACCAACCAUAUCCAGGUGAAAAUCUUGCAUAAUCUUUUGUCAAUACGAUUUAUUAUAUAUUGAUUUAAUAAAAUUUAUAAAUUAAUUGAAUGUUGUUUAGUGUUAAGAGGGAUUUUAGUUGCAUAAUAUUUAUUUAAGUGGUUUAAUUAACAUUCUUAUAAUUGUUUUGUUUACUUAUCUUCUUAAUAAUUUGGAUCAUAUUAUAAUCAGUUUAACUUUUUUUUUUGUUUAUAAUUAGUGUUAAGCAUUUAUCUUCAGAUAAUAUAUAUUCUGGAAAUUUUCAUAAUUAUUUUUGCUAUUAUAUUUAUUGUACAAUGUAGUUAUUUUCAAUGCGUAUGUUUUUAUAUAUUUUAUGUGAUGGCCAUUAAUAAAUUAUUAUGUUACUUAAAUAAUUUAUAUUUUAUUUUACAGAUUGUAGAUUAGUGCAUACAAAAAUAAAUGAUAUUGCUAAUAUAUAAAAAUAUGAAUACAUUUUUUUUCAUAUUUAUCAUAUUAAUUAAAAUUCAUAUUAAUACUGUUAUGCUCUAUACAUUUCAAUUAUAGCAUAAAAUUAAGAUUUUUAAUUCAUUAAAAUGAAUAUAAGUUUCAUUCAGUUAGAUAUAAAAUAUUCUAUAGCUUUAUUUUCGUAUACAACUUUUAUGAAAUCAUUCUGUUUAAAAAAAAAAAAAGAAUUGACCAAACAAAAACAUAUGUACAUAUAAUUAGAGAUUUGGCUAAUGAGUUUUGUUAAUUAUUCAUUCUAAAAUGAUACUUAUUAACAGGCUCUUUACCAGGAACAACAAAUAAACAUUAAUAUAAUAUUUUGUGUCCUUUUGUUUACUAUGGAUCUGCACGACCACGUGGAUUAUUUGUUGUUCCAAUCAUAAAAUUGUUCUAAUAGAUUUUUAAAGUGCAGAAAUAUCUUUUUAACAAAAUAUAAUAUAAAAAUCAUAAAAAAUUUCAAGAAAGUUGGAUACAAGAAUAAUGUUUCUGUUUUAAUAUGAGAGAAGGUUUAGUAAGAAGGAUGUUUUAUAUUGUUUGGACACAAGAUUAGUGAUUGCAUUGUUUAGAAACAUAGAUAGUAUCAUUAUAUUGUUUCAAUAAUUAUUUUGUAAUAGAGGAAUGUAUUGAAUUUAAAAUCUUGCAAAAAAGUUGGAAACAAGAGAAUAUUUCAGUUUUAUUAAAAGAGAUGUUAAAAUCGUGAAAUAACCAAUUAGGAAUCAUAAGUUCUUGAUUUUUUAAAAAUGUAAAACAAGUAAAAAAAAUCUAUAUUAUUAAAACUGAAGUAGAAAUAAGAGUUGCUUGGAAACAUAGAUAAUAGUAUACAUGUGAAUUGUUUGGAAACACGAAUAACAAUAUACAUGAGAAUUGUUUGGAAACACGAAUAGCAGUACAAAAUAAUACUUAUCUAUUUUUAAGUGAUUUUGAACAGAUUUUCAUUCUAUUUUUAAUCAAUUAUAACCAAUUCAUUUAUUAUCUUUACUGAAUAAAUUGAUAUAUUUUAUUACUGAAGUACAAUACAAAAGUUUUGUUUUUUUUUUAAUUUUUAUUUUAUCGUUUACAUUCAUUUUCUCACUUUUAUAACUAUUUCAUUAUUUAUAUUUAUUAUAAUAUUUUGACAGCAAUUAUUUUACAUAUUAACUAUAAUAAUUCGACAUAUUUGAAUGAAAUUACUCUAUUUGUGACAAGAAUUCAAAAUGAUUAACAAUUUUUUUUAUUUGUUUACAUAAUCAGUUAUACAUAAACAUUCACGUAUUUGUUCAGCUAUGAGUUAUUUCUUUUGGGUAUCAGGUUUUUUGAGUUUUGAAAUUAGACUUCACUCGAGUAUUAUAAAUUUUCAUGUAGGUUUCGAAAUGGAUCUUUCCAAGUCAAGAUGAAUUCAGUUUUGUUAUAUACAAACCUACAAAUAUCCAAAAACUAACGUAUAUGAAGCCGGUUGGAUAUUUGUACCAAAGUAACAAUAUUAACCUAUUCAGUUCAGGUAGUUUCAAAUCAAACUAAACAUAACCUAAAAAUAACCAAAUAACCAAUAGUAACCAUAUUUUCCUAUUUGAUUCGAGUUGAUUCUGAUAUAUAAAACUUAAAAGUAUUCAAAUAUACUUAUAUAUUUAAUUAUAUUAUAACACAUAUAAAAAAUAUAUAAUAUUAUCACGUAAACAAAAUUCAAUUUUUUUAAAAAAGUAAAAAUUAACACAUGCACAGACGUGCGGAUCAAUCUCUAUCAAUACUAUUAAAACAAAAGAACUUUUUAUAUACUAACAAAUAAUCUAGGUCGGAUCAUUACAUUUAUUUAACUUCAUAUUAUUUCUCAUACAACUAACUUACUUAUUAUUAAAUAUAUACUAUAUCUAACUAAUUAAUUUAAUAUUUUCAAAUAAGAUAUCUAAAAAGAUAUUCAUAAACAUCUUUUUCAAAAAAUAUAUUUUAAUAAUAUUUUUUUUUAAAUCUAGUCAAUACUAUUAAAACAUAAACAAAUUCUAUCUACUUACAAAUAGUCUAGGUUGGACCAUUAAAUUUAAUUAAUUUUCAUAUUAUCUUUACUUAUGUCUAACUUAAUUAUAAUUAAAUAUAUUUCAUGCCUAAAAUUAAGGAAUUAAAUAACUAAUCUAUCUUUUUGCAUGCUAAUAAAUUCAGUUUAUAUUAAUAUUAAAUUUAAGUAACUAAUCAAUUAAAUAUUAUUUAUUCAUGCCUACUAAUAUGUAUAUAUACAACUGUACAUUAAUCAAAUGCAAGAAAUAAAUUCUUCAAAAACCCUCACCAAAUACAUAAAAAUAAAAAUAUUAUAGUUAGAUUAUCCAAAAUUAAAUAUACAUAUAUAUAUAUAUAUAUAUAUAUGAUAGCAUUAAAAAUAAAGAUAACAUAAAUAUUAAUAAGUAGCUACUAUUAAUAUUUAAAAUAUGAUAGAACAUGUUAUUAUUGAUACUUUUAUGAAUAUAGUUUUUACAGGUUAUUCGAACAUACAUGUAAUAUAUUUAUCAAAUAUAAACUAAUUCAACAAAUAAAUUAACACAAUUAUAUCAUAAAACAUUACAUUAACAACAAGAUUAAAUUAAUAAAUAAAUAAAUGAUUAUACUUUUUGAAACGUAAAACACUAAACAUUCAUGAAUAUAUAUUAGAAUAUUCAAAUUGUUGAUGCUCAAAUCUAUUUCUCACUUUUUAGUAUGUAUCCUCUCAAAAAUUGAUCCGUUACGCUUAUAACAAGAUGAAAAUUGGUUUGACUAAAUUUUUUUAUAGCUAUUUUUUGUAAAAUUAGAGCAUCACAUUCAUAAUAUAUCUACCAUAAACCAUUCAUCUAAACAUUCAUGAAUAUAUAUUAGAAUAUUCAAAAUAAAAUAAUUUAAGUCAAAUUGGAUUACAUAUCGGGUUACACAUCGGUUUAAUAAUCGGCUUCUCGGUUUUAAUAUUUUACGGGUUUUGUAAGAUUUUUAAAUAACGAGUUUAAAAAAAAACCAACUGAAUUAUAUAUCGGGUCACCAGGAUUGCCAGUUUAACCAUGGAUUCAGGUCGGAUUUCAAAACACUAAAUAUAACAUUUCAUUCAUAACAUUUAAAUGUAGAUAUACAAUCAAAAAUACAAAUUUAAAUCAAAUAAAUUUGGUUUGUUUCGGAAAUAAUCUCGCACUUUCAAAGUACAGAUCAAAAUCUAGUUAUUGUAUUAAAAUAGAAGUCAUGACUUCUUUUAUGUGUGAUAUUUCAUUUCGGACUUUCAACUAGAAAGUUAUCACAUUUAAUUAAAUGAAAUUAUCCUAUCAUUUACAUGUUAACUAGGAUAAAACAUGCGUCUUGCGUAGGAUAAGUUUAUUUGUAUAUAUUAUCAACAAUUGUUUUUAUAUAUUUGAUCAUUUUAUCUAUACAUAUACAAUAUUUUUGUUGUUAUUAUAUAAUUUAUUUCUGAUGGACUGAAUCAAUUUUUAUUAAAAAUUGUGAAACUAAACUAUAAUUAAUAUAUCAUGAGUUGUUCAGAUUGGACAUUUAAACAAAUUAUGACAUUAAUUUUCAUAUAUAUGUUAAUCAUAUUAGGUAAUUUCGUAGCUUUUAUUUAAAAUAAAAACACGUUUCUUAUAUUUUAGGGUUAAUAUAAUAUUUCCUAAUAAUUGAAUUUGAACCAACAUUUUUUCAAUUGAUUUUGAAACUGCCACGUAAGUUAAUUGUCAUCUUAAUUAAGUGACACUUAAGCAUAGUCUUUUUUUUAAUUAGUACAAAAGUAAGAUUACAAAUUUUUAAAUGAUCAUCAAUUAAUAUAUAGAGGAUUUUACCUUUUUUUUUUUUUUGUCAACGUUUUUUUUCAUUCAAUUAGCCUAGUGGGCUAGUUUACAAGGCUUGUACGUUACAUUGAGAUCCAAUAAACAUGAAAUACAUAAAGAAGCCUAACAGCCUAAGGCCCAAGAUGAAGAUCGGUUAAUGCUUGCUGUCCAUCCACGUGUCGGUUUAUGAAGAAGCACGAGACACGUGCUGAUACGUGUCUAUCAUGCGAGACGGUGAACACAACCGCCGUAGUUCUUCGCCGCCGGGAAUGUUCUGAAUCGAACCUCCAUCGUUUGCUUCUCGACAACGUAAGAUUCAUGGAUCUCUCCUCAUGCAAACGGCAAGACCUCUUGUCUUCGACUUUCGCUCCAGCCUUUGCUUGUUUUUGGAAAGCCCCAUCCACCGUAGAUGAUAACACAGAGGUAGAUCGAAAAGCCAACAAAAGAUUUUUUGCCAGACCAUCUUCUAUAGAAGAUGCUGACUCUACUAAAUCUUUGCUUAAGCCAAUCGAUAUCAACCCAAAUCCACAGCUUCCUCUAUGCAAAGAUACUUUACUUUAAGCUAAUCAGCCUCACAAAGAGAGUAAAGAUUGACUCUCGCAACAAAGGAUUAAGUGCAUAUCCCUGGAGAAACAGAGCAUCCAACACAAGCAAACGGGAAGUAACAAUUUAUUGCGAAAGAGAAGAUUGAAGAAAACACAUAUCGCCAACGCGAAUUUAUUAAAGUUCAACCACAAAACUGAUAAAAGAAGAGAAGAUGAAGAACGGGUCAGUUUAGGGUUGAAAUCACCACAAAAUCGCCUACGCGAAAUUUAGAUCCGCUGACGGAAAACAAAAAAAU
This is an RNA transcript of Brassica rapa (field mustard), 8926 nucleotides long. It is a transcript of the gene named probable RNA-binding protein ARP1, with no coding region annotated. The record is from RefSeq and is a predicted model, not a curated record. NCBI's taxonomy places the organism in Eukaryota, Viridiplantae, Streptophyta, Magnoliopsida, Brassicales, Brassicaceae.